RNAcentral lists this long non-coding RNA (773 nucleotides) under Homo sapiens (human). Its description in RNAcentral is "novel transcript". Lineage: Eukaryota; Metazoa; Chordata; Mammalia; Primates; Hominidae. The record is from RNAcentral.
GCCACCCGGGUGCAGUGAGGACCUGGAGCCCCUGCCCCAGGCUGUGAGGAGACUUGACCAGAGCUGCCUGAAUGCUCCACGGAGCAGGUGGGAGCCCACCCUCCCAGGUGCAGGACCCGGGAGUCUCUGCACUCUGCACCCUCGGGGGCCCAGGGGACCCCCUUGCCCUUGCAGGCUUGUAUCUGCUCCUGCUGCCUAGCCUCUCCCCACUGCCGGCGCCUGCCUGGAUCUCGGAGCAGGGUUGGGGCCGUGCCCCAGCACUGACAGCCCGGCCAGGUGUGUGCACACACGGGGCAGUGCUGAUAUGCCAGUCACCUGCCACCUCGGCCGCCUCCGGACCUUGGGCACCAAAAAGCACUUUUUAAAAAUAUACUUUAAGUUAUGGGAUACAUGUGCAGAACGUGCAGGUUUGUUACAUAGGUAUACACGUGCCAUGGUGGUUUGCUGCACCCAUCAACCCGUCAUCUACAUCAGCAGGAGGAAGCAUUCCCAUGUGAAAGAUGAGCUCCCUAUAAAAGCAACGCUCUUAUCAUCGAGAACAGAAAGUUGAAGCCAAGAGAGAGCUCCACAAGCUGACCUUGUUAAACUAACCCUUAUCUUCUUAGUCGCUUCUUUACCCAAUUAACUACCCUAGCCGAAGCCCCUUUGCCUUAUUACAUUUUGCAACAGUGUUCGUUGUCCAAUUCAGUAUACAAGUGAGUGACUCUGGAUGCUUUUUGGGGUCUUCGUUUCCUUAUGAGGGCUUCUGUGCCAUGUAAAACUUGUAUUAAAUA